UGGAUACAUGAACAUCAUGUAUCCAGCUGAGCAAUCAGGAACAAACAAACCAUUUUGCAAAGAUUGCUCAAAAACACUUCCUGAUCCUUUUCUCUGCAUGUUAAUAGGUCAUCCCACCUGUAUUUUAUUUUCAAGGCAAUUCUGUAUUUACAUAUAUUAAUGAUUCCCAAAGGAGACCCAAACCAUUCCAGACUCUUGCAGCAAAACCAGCGAUGAAUCCUGUGGCACUUUAAAGGUUUGAUCACAAGCAAAAUGCAAUGGGUGUGCUUCCACAGUGGAUUGAUUAUACAGUGAUGGGCAUCUGUAAGGACACAUUGAAAUCUGGCACCAUGAAGUCACUGACAAGAUGGUUUAAGUAACUGUAAAGAGUGAAAAAGAAAACAGAUGGAAAGACUUACUUGAACAAAGCGGAUUUGUAUUUUCAGCACCAUCGUCUUCUGUAAAAUAAAAUUGAAAUGGAA
Molecule: long non-coding RNA, 461 nt
Organism: Sceloporus undulatus (fence lizard)
Lineage: Eukaryota; Metazoa; Chordata; Lepidosauria; Squamata; Phrynosomatidae
Exons: 2
Source: RefSeq, a predicted model, not a curated record